RNAcentral lists this transfer RNA (73 nucleotides) under Ornithorhynchus anatinus (platypus). RNAcentral describes it as "tRNA-Val (AAC) (tRNA-Val-AAC-11-1)". The record is from RNAcentral. Lineage: Eukaryota; Metazoa; Chordata; Mammalia; Monotremata; Ornithorhynchidae.
GUUUCUGUAGUGUAGCGGUCAUCACGUUCGCCUAACACGCGAAAGGUCCCCGAUUUGAAACCGGGCGGAAACA